RNAcentral lists this transfer RNA (72 nucleotides) under Moelleriella libera RCEF 2490. Its description in RNAcentral is "Aschersonia aleyrodis RCEF 2490 tRNA". It matches the Rfam family "tRNA". From Rfam's summary of the family: Transfer RNA (tRNA) molecules are approximately 80 nucleotides in length. Their secondary structure includes four short double-helical elements and three loops (D, anti-codon, and T loops). The record is from Rfam by way of RNAcentral. Lineage: Eukaryota; Fungi; Ascomycota; Sordariomycetes; Hypocreales; Clavicipitaceae.
ACAAUUAUAAGUUAAUGGGUAAACUAUUCGUUUACCAAACGAAAUUUGUCAGUUCGAUUCUGACUGAUUGUA